GCUGGGUGUGGUGGUGUGCGCCUGUAGUCCCAGCUUAGUUGGGAGGCUGAGGCAGGAGAAUUGCUUGAGCCCAGGAGGCGGAGGUUGCAGUGAGCCAAGAUUGCACCACUGCACUCCAGCCUGGGCAACAGAGCAAGACUCUGUCUCAA
RNAcentral lists this small RNA (149 nucleotides) under Pongo abelii (Sumatran orangutan). Its description in RNAcentral is "Metazoan signal recognition particle RNA (ENSPPYG00000038320.1)". The record is from Rfam by way of RNAcentral. Lineage: Eukaryota; Metazoa; Chordata; Mammalia; Primates; Hominidae.